UACGUAGGGUCCGAGCGUUGUCCGGAAUUAUUGGGCGUAAAGGGCUCGUAGGCGGUUGGUCACGUCGGGAGUGAAAACUCAGGGCUCAACCCUGAGCGUGCUUCCGAUACGGGCCGACUAGAGGUAUGCAGGGGAGAACGGAAUUCCUGGUGUAGCGGUGGAAUGCGCAGAUAUCAGGAGGAACACCGGUGGCGAAGGCGGUUCUCUGGGCAUUACCUGACGCUGAGGAGCGAAAGCGUGGGGAGCGAACAGG
This 253-nucleotide ribosomal RNA is filed under the name uncultured bacterium. Its description in RNAcentral is "partial 16S ribosomal RNA". It matches the Rfam family "Bacterial small subunit ribosomal RNA", at positions 524 to 776 of the family's 1533-position model. The record is from RNAcentral.